CUCACCUCUUACCAUUCCGAACAGAGAAGUUAAGCCCAUUAGCGCCGAUGGUACUACAAUCGUGGAAGAGUAGGUCGCUGCCUUUU
RNAcentral lists this ribosomal RNA (86 nucleotides) under Bacteroidota bacterium. Lineage: Bacteria; Pseudomonadati; Bacteroidota. The record is from RNAcentral.